UACAGAGGGUGCGAGCGUUAAUCGGAAUUACUGGGCGUAAAGCGCACGUAGUCGGCUUUGCAAGUCGGGUGUGAAAUCCCCGGGCUCAACCUGGGAACUGCAUCCGAGACUGCAUUGCUAGAGUAUGGGAGAGGGAAGCGGAAUUUCUGGUGUAGCAGUGAAAUGCGUAGAUAUCAGGAGGAACACCUAUUGCGAAGGCAGCUCGCUGGGACGUUACUGACGCUGAGACGCGAAAGCGUGGGGAGCAAACAGG
Molecule: ribosomal RNA, 253 nt
Filed under: uncultured bacterium
Lineage: Bacteria
Description: partial 16S ribosomal RNA
Rfam family: Bacterial small subunit ribosomal RNA
Source: RNAcentral